AUACGUAGGGUGCAAGCGUUAAUCGGAAUUACUGGGCGUAAAGCGUGCGCAGGCGGUUUUGUAAGACAGUGGUGAAAUCCCCGGGCUCAACCUGGGAACUGCCAUUGUGACUGCAAGGCUGGAGUGCGGCAGAGGGGGAUGGAAUUCCGCGUGUAGCAGUGAAAUGCGUAGAAAAGCGGAGGAACACCGAUGGCGAAGGCAAUCCCCUGGGCCUGCACUGACGCUCAUGCACGAAAGCGUGGGGAGCAAACAGGAUUAGAUACCCUGGUAGUCCACGCCCUAAACGAUGUCAACUGGUUGUUGGGGAUUUAUUUUCUCAGUAACGAAGCUAACGCGUGAAGUUGACCGCCUGGGGAGUACGGCCGCAAGGUUAAAACUCAAAUGAAUUGACGGGG
Molecule: ribosomal RNA, 395 nt
Filed under: uncultured bacterium
Lineage: Bacteria
Description: partial 16S ribosomal RNA
Rfam family: Bacterial small subunit ribosomal RNA
Source: RNAcentral